GAUGAACGCUGGCGGCGUGCCUAAUACAUGCAAGUCGAGCGAACAGACGAGGAGCUUGCUCCUUUGACGUUAGCGGCGGACGGGUGAGUAACACGUGGGUAACCUACCUAUAAGACUGGGAUAACUUCGGGAAACCGGAGCUAAUACCGGAUAAUAUUUCGAACCGCAUGGUUCGAUAGUGAAAGAUGGCUUUGCUAUCACUUAUAGAUGGACCUGCGCCGUAUUAGCUAGUUGGUAAGGUAACGGCUUACCAAGGCAACGAUACGUAGCCGACCUGAGAGGGUGAUCGGCCACACUGGAACUGAGACACGGUCCAGACUCCUACGGGAGGCAGCAGUAGGGAAUCUUCCGCAAUGGGCGAAGGCCUGACGGAGCAACGCCGCGUGAGUGAUGAAGGUCUUCGGAUCGUAAAACUCUGUUAUUAGGGAAGAACAAACGUGUAAGUAACUGUGCACGUCUUGACGGUACCUAAUCAGAAAGCCACGGCUAACUACGUG
RNAcentral lists this ribosomal RNA (497 nucleotides) under uncultured bacterium. RNAcentral describes it as "partial 16S ribosomal RNA". It matches the Rfam family "Bacterial small subunit ribosomal RNA", at positions 28 to 507 of the family's 1533-position model. The record is from RNAcentral.